This 4801-nucleotide long non-coding RNA is filed under the name Heterocephalus glaber (naked mole-rat). RNAcentral's name for it is "lncRNA (ENSHGLG00000033879.1)". Lineage: Eukaryota; Metazoa; Chordata; Mammalia; Rodentia; Bathyergidae. The record is from RNAcentral.
AGCGAGUCCAGAAGGCCCCCUGCGCUCCUACUAAACUCGCUCCUGCUUUGCCCGCACCCCUGGGGCACCGAGCAGCCCCGGGGCGUCUUGAGCUGGCUGCAAACCCAGCUGGCUCCGAGGGCGACUCCUGAGCCGGGGCGAUGGGCGCCCCUCGGACAGCCCUAGAAACCCUCUCCAUUCCAGAGUGACACGCUGGGGGCGGGCUCCCAGCCUCUUUUUCUAAACUACAGAUCCGCCCCAGGAGGGCUCUGCCGGGGUCUGCAGCCCCAGGGAAGGUCGGGACUGCGGAGGCGCCGCUGGCCCGCUGGGAGGGGCAGCCGCCCAAGUCCCCCUCGCCGGCCCGCGCAGGGCCUCGGGCCUCAUCCCAGAGGAGCGCCCCAGAUCACGAUCCUCAAGCCCCGCCAGGGCUCCCGCCCCAGGGCAGCGCCCUGGACCUCCGCCCCGCGUCGGCGGUGCGAGACUAAGUUAAAGACGCUCCUAGGAGAAGAAGCAGGAGGUCGACUUCUGGGUCUGAGCGCUGGAUGCGGCGCGGUGGCCACAAGCAGCUCAGGAAACCGGACCGUCUUCAUCUUACCUGACUACUCCACCCGGAACCAGCUUACUCCUGGGCCUCCUCCUGACCUCCUAGCGGCUGCCACCUCCGAAGUCCUUCCACCCACCCACCCAGCCCACUCUUUCUCCAGCUUGUCUCGAACAUCUUGUCUCCUGAGCACCUGUCACCUUGUUCCUGACCCCUCUACUUACCUAGGAGAGCCAGGAGACCAAACAGCAGGGUGACUUAGGCGCUCGAUGCAAGGACCAGCAUGGGCAAGCCAUGGAAGCAGAACUCCAGAGCAUCACCAGUGCCAUGUGGAGGAAAUGUAAUCUGCUCAGAUCCACGUGGUAAACUGAGGCAGCACAGAGCCUUUUACUCUGGGUUGAAGCCAAAAAGAAGAAAUGGUGUGGGCUGGCGAUUUGGCUCAGUGGUUCCGCCGCCUGCCUCACGAGUGCAAGGUCCCGAGUUUGAUCCUCGGUACCAAAAAAAAGAAGAAGAAAAAGAAGAAAUGGUGAGAGCCAGUCAGGCGGGGAAACAUCCAGAAGGUUGGUAACUCCCAGUGUUGGAAAGAGCAUGGGGAAAUGAACACUGUUUGGUUUGGUUUGGUUUUGAAGAUAGUUUAGCAGAAUCUGUCAAAGUUUAAAAUACAUGUAUCAGUUUGACCCAACACAUCUGAUAGGAUUCUCCCCUAUAGAAGCACCCAUACUUGGAUGGAGAAAAGCUACCCUUUUAACUAUAUUGUAGUAUUUUCAUGUCACUUAAUGUUUUGGCUUAGUUUUGAGGUUCUUUAGUUUGUUACUGGGAAUCAAACACAGGGCCUUGGGCAUGAUAGGUAAGUGCUCUACCACUAAGAUACAUCCCCAGCCCUAGAAUUUUUAUUUUUAUACUUAUUAAAAUAGCUUUUUUAGGAAGACUCAGAUGUGCUUUCUUUUUUAUCAUAUAUUCCUCUUGGCAGCCACUGCUUUCUGCUCAGCUUCUCAGCAUCUCAGUUACUUCCACCUACAAAUCAGCAAAAGCUUCUAGGAGGGAAGUGGCUCAGGCUAUCAAGCUCACCUCCAGGCCUUUCUCCUCUCACUUACAUCCUGGCCUCUUAACUCCUGGACUACCUUGAUAGCUCAUUGUUGUCUUCCAGCAGAAUUCUUUGUUUUGUUUUGUUUUAGUACUGGGGAAUUGAACACAGGGCCUUUGCACUGAACUAAAUUCCCAACUCUUUUUUGUUUUUGUUUUUGGUACCAGGGAUCGAACUCAGGUCCUUGCGCUUGUGCAGCAGGCAGUGAAACCACUGAGCUAAAUCCCUGGCCCCGCAACUCUUUUUAUUUUUAGAAAAGUUCUCCCUAAAUAGCUAAACUUCCAAGGCUGGGGGUCAUAGGUGACCCCCACCAUGUCUGCUAAAUUUUGCUUGUUCACAGUACAAAAAUUUUUCUUUUCAGUACCGGGAAUCAAACUCAGGACCUUGCAAUUGGCAGGCAACCACAGUACCACUGAGCUACAUCCCUGGCCCCUAUAGUUGCAAAUUUUCUAGCUACUACCAAUAGGAGGGUUUGAUAGAAGUGGAUACAUUCCUAUCUAGUAUGAGACCACACAACGUCCUCUGAAGGGGGCAUUUCUGACUAUGAAAGGGGGCACUAUUAAUAAUACUGAACCCGGGUAGGGGAUUUAGCUCAGGUGCUUGCCUCAUAAGCGCAAGGUCCUGAGUUCGAUUCCUAGUACCCAAAACAAAACAGUACUGAACCAACAAGCAGUAACUAUGACUCUCAGGCAAACUACAGCUCAUGGACACCCUAAUCAUUGAUAACUUCCUUUUUACUACCAUAAAUACAUAAUUAGGGAAAAUUUCCCUGUUAAGUUUUUUUUAAACUAUGGGAACACAGAUGGGAUGUGUACCAAUUCAGUGCUUCACCUUCUUUGCCCGGCUGGGGGAUCCUAGAAGUGGACCCUGAAAACAUGUGUCCUCUGUCAGCUGGUCGCACCAGUAAGCUUCACCAGAGCAGUGUUAGAGGCUCGCCGAGCAACCUUCUCUGCCUCAGCCCAGUACUUCUCUUCUGGCUCCUACAGCACAGCUGCCAGUGGGCGGCUUCCUGGUGGGGUUUUGCCAGCACCCAGCCCAGCCUGCAGUGGCACCUCAGCCAACUCCUCUGCCACCCACAGGGCCACUGGCACACCCUCCCCCUGGGAGUUCUGGAUCUCAGCCUAGGUGGGGAAGCAGUGGUUGCUUCUUUCUCUCCAUCAACCCUAGAGACAUUGUAAUGGCUGCUCCUUUUAACUCAUUCCUCUAAUCUUCAUUGCCAUUUGCUAGUUAACAAUUCUUUAAACUAGAUUUUUCCCUCUUCAAACGGGUGUGGUGUCCUGUCUCCUACUGGAUCCUGGCCGAUACACACAUUUGUUCUUUUCCCUUGUCAUUUGAGAACAAAAUCCCUCCAAACAUGGAUAGAGAACCUGGUACUAGGUGGUCACAAAUGUCAUACUUCGACAACACUUACCAUCGCCAGACACUGCUCCAAGACCUUUAUACCUAUUAACUCCAUCCUCACACCAACCCUUGCCACUACUAUGAAGGAAGUAGCAUGAGUGUUCCUUUCACUGAUGAUGAAAUUGUAACACAAGGAAGGGGUAUGAUUCACAAGGAUACCGUAAAGCUCAGAUUCAAAACCAGACCAGGUGGCUGAGAAGUCCAUGCCCUCAUAGUACAUAGAAUGCACUGCUUGUUUUGCCUCCUGUAGAGUGCCCGUCACUGGGAAAUGUUCCUCAGAGGUUACCCUCAAGAGCCCUGACCAGGGCUCACAGAGGCCCCACGCGAUGGUAGCCAAAGGGUCCUUACUUGAAAUAUAGAAAAGAGUAGCUAGAACAAGGGACCACUGGAGAGAUGGAAACUCCAACCCAGGUAUACUGGAGCACCUCAGCCCCUUGAUUCCCUCCUGCAGAGGGCAGGGAUAUUUCACCUGUCGGUGCUGGCAACAACUGGACCAAAAGCUAGUGCCCCAGAUGCAGGAAGGCAGGUCUUAGAGGCUAUGCACAAGGAGAGAGAGUCUUGACAGAAGCAACCAUGGAGUGCUAAAGGUUCAGUAGCCUCGGGUGGUCCCUAGGUCAAAAUCUGAGAGCGAAUAGGAAAGCCAAAAAAAGACAAGCAACUGGAGCAAACCAACCUACAUUCAUGUCUGUGUUCAGCCAACUGGGAGAAUGAGUUUAACAAUUUUCCACAGUCGGUUUGGCCAUUCUUAUGUCUUGGGCUACUUCCUGAUCGGGGCUAUUAGAAAUAACACUGCUAAGACCAAUCUUGAACAAGCCUUUUUGUUUUUAUUUCUCUUGGGUAAAUUCAGGAAUAGAAUUGUUGGAUCAUAAGGUCAGUUUAUGUCGAGUUUCUUUAUAUUUAGCAUUUUUAUGGUGGUAAAUUACACAUAAAAUUUACCACCUUAACCUUUUUUGGUUUUGGUACUGGGGUUAGAACUCGGGACCUUGCACUUGCGAGGCAGGCGCCGGAACCACUGAGCUAAAUCCCCGGCCCUGCCUUAACCAUUUUUAAAGUGUGUGAUUCAGUGACAUUUUAUACAUUCACAAUGUUAUGUAACCAUCACCACUAUUAUUUUAAUUGUGGUAAAAUAUACACAACAUAAAAUCUACCAUUUUAACCAUUUUUAAGUGUACAAUUUAGUGGUAUUAAAUAUAUUUACAUUGUUGUACAGUCAUGAGCACUCCCCAACGGCCCAUUUUCAUUAUCCCCCUCUAAAACUCUGUACUCAUUGAACAAUGACACCCCAUUUCCUCCCUGCUCCAGCCCUAGUAACCACUAUUCUAUGCCCUGUCCCUACAAAUUUGACUAUUUCAGGUGUUCAUGCAGGUGGAAUAAUACAGUGUUUGUCUUAUUUCAUUAUUGUAUUUUAAAGCCAUAUCCAUACUAUAUGCAUGUAUCAAAAUUUCAUUUGUUUAAAGCUGGACAAUAUUCCAUUGUAUGUACACACCAUAUUUGAAUUAUACAUUCAUCUGGCAGUGAACAUUUGGGUUGUUUCCAUCUUUUGUUUCUGUGAAUAAUGCUGCUGUGAACAUUGGUGUACAAACAUCUGUCUGAGUCUCUGCUUUCAAUUCCUUUGGGCAUCUUUCUCAAAGUGUUCACUCUGUUUAACUUUUUAAUGAAUUCCAUACUGUUUGCUGCAGCAGCUGUACCAUUUAACAUUCUCACUAACAAUGCACAGGGAUUCCAGUUUUCCCACAUCCUCACCAAUACCUGGGACUUACUGUUUUGGUUUUGUUGUUGCUGCUGUUGCUAUUUUU